UUUCCCCGCGGUUCGGUCAACCAAGAAAGUUGGGAUCUAAUUCCCAACUUGACAUGAUUUGUCUACGUGAUUGAUUACGCUGUUGAAAACUUGGCGGUGAUCAUCACGUCUUGCCGGGACCUCCAUCAUUGAAGACGCAACACCUUUUCAACUAGUUUAAAGGUCGUGGGGGUCCACCCACCGAAUGGGGUCCCCCCACGCUUUUUUCCAACCAACCGGUUGAUAUAUAAUAUUAAUAUGGUUAAAAAGUUUGACCAACAUUCAUAAUAAUUUCCAUGCGGCGCAUGAUCAAUGGAUGGUCCACGGAUUUCGAAUGAAUCGAUUAAUGUUGAAUGUAUUAGAUCUUAGCUAGAUUGCUUUCAUAUAUGUAGACAGAAAAAUAAAAGAAAAUGGAAGAAAUCAGUAUAGUUGGGAUGAGAAUUGGUGCAUGCGCGCAUUGGUGGCUUUGAAUCAUUCCAACACAAAAAGCCAACGUGGGAACAGAAGAAAGACAACACUGGAGGGGGGGAAGGAAGGUGGAUAUAUACAUGCAGCAAUUAAGAUCCCGACCUCCAGAGUUGUAUGGAGA
This is a long non-coding RNA of Juglans microcarpa x Juglans regia, 568 nucleotides long. RefSeq lists it as uncharacterized. Lineage: Eukaryota; Viridiplantae; Streptophyta; Magnoliopsida; Fagales; Juglandaceae. The transcript has 2 exons. The record is from RefSeq and is a predicted model, not a curated record.